Molecule: long non-coding RNA, 5020 nt
Filed under: Homo sapiens (human)
Lineage: Eukaryota; Metazoa; Chordata; Mammalia; Primates; Hominidae
Description: HSALNT0043375
Source: RNAcentral
UUUGAUUUUCCUGAUUUUUUUGUGUUUCAUUUUUUUAACCUGACUAUGUAGCAAGAAUAUUAGAAAUAAAAUUUAGGAGAGGAUAGACAAUCCUUGGGUGUAUGGAGACAGGGAAUGGCUCCCGGCAGCUGAAUAAAUAGCAUGCAUGUAUCUGGCUUUCUGGGCCCUACCCAAGCCUUUUUACAACUACCAGGUGUUUUAUAGACACAUUUUUCUAUGAAGUAGUCAAACUGUAAACAGCAUGAAUCCUGAAUGAUAAUCGUGUCUUAAUAAUAAUAAAAGAAAGAAAAUAAGAGACAAGCAUCACGAUUUUCCCAAUUGAAAUGUCUUUUGGUUUUGCCUUUGGUGGCACAGGGUCAAGGGUGUGGGGGCAUUUGUGUGGCAUUCACUAUUCUUUCAACCUGUCCUGAUUAUGGAACCCUUUAAGGUCCGUCCACUUGGAACCACGGUGCUCUGAGAGGACGCUGAACUCACAGCAGCCCACACACAAUUCCAGUGAUACUACUGCAAUGUUUUGUACACAGAAUCUUAGGUUUGUUGGGUAAAUGUAGCAUCAUAUUUUGUUUUAGCAAUUUGUGAACAGUCUUGCUUCUCUUCACACUUAUAAGCUCAUCAGGCUAAGGAUUAAAUCGUAUGCACCCAAAUACCUCUUAGUAUACAAACGUCUGCACUCAGUAGCGUUUCUGGCUGAGCAGGUGGAAGAAGGGCCACGUUCGCCAAUGUCAUGAGGGGCCAGCAUCUUUAACCUUCACGCCCACAUCACCAGCCUUGCCUUCUUCACAACAGAAAUGUUGUCCCACUUCCUUUCCAGGUCUCUCAGAUUCAUGGUACGAGUUGGAAAGAGACCUGAGAGAUUAUUUAGGCUAAACGUUUCAUUUUAUAAAUGACAAAAUUAGGGUUGAGCAAAAUGUGGUGAUUUUGUCUGUGCAAAGCCAAGAAAAAAAAUUAGAGCCUCUUAAAAGUCAUUUUUCCCCUGAAAUAAAGUAUCUUCAUUUCACUGUUAAAUAUAUGUCCUCAUGUAGUUGCUAUAAUCAACCACUUCUCAAGAAAACUCUAAAAGCUGUAUUUCCCAUAUGACACAUUUCAGAAUAUUACAUAAGAAGCUCUCACCAAGACACCAAGGUAAAAUAUAUAUGACAAGCCAAAGACAGGUGCCAUAAAAAAAUAAGAAAUCUUCAAAGGGGAAAGAAAUUCCAAAAGUGGCAACAUGACACCACUCAUUCUCUGCCUACUUUCGAGGUAAGACGAUGUUGAAGUUCUGAGGGGGCUCAGUAAAUAACACCUCUCUUCCCCCUCCAGGUCCUGCACAAAUUGAAAACAUAAAAGGUAGCAGAUGGACUCAAAUGCCACCUUCAUGACUGAGGUGCCAAGCUGGAGGGCAGGAGUUGCCCUCUGGUCCUGGUUUAGGCUGACCUUCUGAACGGGGCCUGAGGGCAGGACCACACGGGCAGGGAUCAGAAAGGAGCUGGAGGAGAGCUCAGAAGGGAGGGCGGGCCCAGCUCUCUUGGCGGCCAAGGAAAAAGCCUGGCAUGUUAGAGCUGGUGCAGGACUCUCCAGGGUGACCGAGCCACCCAGAAGAGGGAAAAGCCAUUCUCCAUAACAAAAAGUCAGGACCGGCUGAAAGCCCCUCCCAGCCCUCCACCCUCCUUCGGCGGGGCUUCUUUCUGAGCUUUGCCCCAUCCCUGCCCCGUGCUGGUGACUGGUGUUUGGCUCCCUCCUAGAGAAAGAGAUGGGCCUGGGUUGGUUGAGAGAGAAAGAGAGAGAAAGGGAGAGACAGAGAGAAGGCUUAGCUCUUGUCCAACAGGGCCACCUAGAGGGACUCUCAGGCUUGAGCGGGAGAAGCAGAGUUUUGAGGCAGAGCUGAUCAAGGGAACCUCAACAAACAACCCCAGCCAUGGAGGCGGCGGUGUCUUUGAAGACCCCAUGAGAGCAUCAAACAAGGGAGAGAGCCUGGAACAAAUCAUGGUAGUAAAAUGGCGGCAGAGAGCUAGUAAUGUGUCUGCAAUUGGUGGGUUCUUGGUCGCACUGACUUCAAGAAUGAAGCCGCGGACCCUCACGGUGGUGUCUUUGGUGGCUGUUCACCCUUCCACAGUAAACAUGCUUGGGAAGCAACUUUGCCAAAAGCCUUCGGACAGUCCAGCGUCAACACCGCAAGCCAAGUGAAGGAGGAGAAAAAUCUGCGCCUCUUUCUCUCAAGGGAUACUUUGUCUCUGGGGUACUUUCUGACCCAGUGGACCCCUGGCAGAAGUAAGCGUGGACUGUGGCUGCAGGACCACGCAGAGUCAACACGAACCGAAGCCAGGCCUUGGCCACGGCAGCUCUGGGGUCCAACCACUUGAUCAAUGCAGGAAAUGCUUUGAUGGCAGAAUUCUUCCAUGGCCAGCUUCUCAUAUUCUCUGGGACAGACACAAACCAAGAAAAAUGAGUGUGGCGCAGAAUCUGAUGUGUCCUUCCUUACCCCGUGCUGGUAGCAAAAAGUAUGUCUUGAACUUUUCUUUGUUACACACAGUCUGGGUAAUAACAGACUGAAGGAAAACUAAAGAAGCUUGGGAGGCUAAGUUCAAUGACAAAUGAAGAACUAAGGCAGAGAAAAAAGAGAAUUGAGAAAGUGUCUGGGUGUCUGGAGAGGUUGGGGGAAUAGAGAGGGAGGAGAUAUAAUUGGCCAGAUAACUUGAGAGUGGGAGAGGAGUGCAAACAUUAUUUUUGAGGCGCUUUGUUGGAUAUUUAAAAUGCACUCCUACCUUUGGCAUUUUCUCAAAAGGCAAGAAAGAUUUGUUUUCAAUUCUAUUUUUCUGCUGGACUGAACCAGUGCCAAGACUGGACCAUGUAGGAUCCUGGGUUUAUUUCAGUUACAUAAGCAAACGUUGCUGUGAUUUGGAAUAGUCAAAGUCAUGAAUGUUUCUCAACUUCCAUUUUGUCAGCUGCUUGAGUUUCUAUUCUGAGAGGUGCUAACUGUGAACAUUGUUAUUCACUUGUGUUCCCUAAAUCACUUUUAAUUAGUUUUAAUUUGAACCAAGAAUGUUCUACUGUUGAAACUAUGUCAAGAAUGAUCAAAAAUGAAAUUAAUAAAGAAUUCGCGUCAAAAAAAAUUUGCACUAAUAUUACAGUAUUUUAUAAUGUCUAUCUCAGCAGAGUCACAGAUAAUUUAGAAUUUUUAAUUUUGUUUUUAAGUGAUUUUCCUCAAAGCUAUAAUAGCCUUGGUAAAGAGUUUAGUUAAACAUUAUUUUUCACCUCUCACGCAUUUUGUGUAAUGAAAUUUUUCUAUCAUCUUCCAGUGGAAUUAAUUGCAUUGGUGCAAAAAAUGCAAUCAAAUCGAUGACUGAAUUUAGCCUUUGAAACCUCACGUCUAGCUGGGAUAGUUACUAUAUUCAUUACAUACUGAAAAAUGAUAAGCAGUAAGCUUUUCUGCUAAAAAACUGCCAAAGAUAAGUUUUUCAAGGCUCUCAAAAUAUCCUAAAGCUGACAAUACAAGAAAUGUUAAAAUAUUGUUGGAAUUUUUAACGGAAUCUUCCUUCUCUUCUUUUCCUGUUUAAGACAAUAGUAGUUAGUUGUCCACUAAUCGUUAAUACACGAUUUUCUAACAAAGACUUGCAUAUCCUUUUGGCUAAAAAGUGGCCAAAUAUCAGAGAGCUAGAAGUUUGGGAGACAGCCUUUAGUCUUUUCCAAAGCAUGUAAGCCCUUUUGAAUCAUUUUGGGUAAAUGGCGAAGAUUAAACAGAAUUCAUAAAGGGUUUCUGAUACAUAAGUGGAAUGUGCCUGUGAGGACACUACACAUGACAAUAAUCUAAGCAUGCUCUCUUUUAGUCCCAAAACGUGUAGAGUAAUGUCACAUGAAAUUUACAGGAGGCCAUUGACUUGGACUGAGCUCCUGCACCAGGCCUAACAGACCAAACCAAAAUGGAGUCACUCAUGCUGAAGUUCACACCACCAAGCCAAAACUGAGUUGUUUAUCCGAUCUUCCAAGAAAUCAAGAAAGACAGGGAGAUAACAGCCCAAUCCCCAAACAGGCCAGUUUUUGCUGGCAUGAUAGGAAGGCCCCUCUGCUUCAAACUUUCCAAAGAAAGUAACUUGGAAACAACCAAUCUGCUUUUUGUUCUCCGUUUCUGCUUUCCUCAACCAUUUUCUGACCAUAAAACCAACAUCCUUUGCUCGGCUCAUGGGAACAUUCAUUCUAUUUUGUAGAAUGAGGUGUUGCCCGAUAUUCUAGAUUUGCAAAUAAAAGCCAAUUAAGAUCUUUAAAUUAAAUCUGUUGUAACUUUGUCUUUUGACACUAAUAAAUGCACGAACAGGUUUCUUUAGAGAAAGCCCGUGAUAUGCAGGGUAUGUUUGACAAGUGCUGUGGUCAAAUGUGAUACUGUUUACAUUCUCAUUUUCAUAAUUUUCUUAAGUACUAUGUAAUUUGGUCUUGGGAAUGCUUCGCUAAUUACGGGUGAGGAGGAUGGGCCUUGUAUGUGACAGAAUGAUUUAGUGUUCUGUAGUUCAGUGGAAAGAGUGUAGAUGUGUUGAAUAUUUAUGACGUUUUACCUUCUCUCUUUGUUACAGAGGCCUUACAACAAAUUAAAACAUGUGUGUCAGCUCCCUAAUUAUCUAGCUAGACUUUUAAAGAUUGGCUAGUUAAGGCUGAAUUUUAUUCAAGCACUACUUCAUCUGUCAUACUAUUUUAAGUACAUUAGCCUUGUUAGCCUAUUAUAUGGCCAUGAUCAGUACUGUUUAAAUUGCCAACUUCUACAAGUCCCUUCUGUGUGCUCUGGCUCAAUCAAUGCAUUAGUGGUACUAGCUUAGUUUUGUCACAGUUCUGGGCACAUUGGCAGUCCCCGGGUGGGAGGCCUGGAGCUCCUGAGUAAACAUAGUGCAUCUGCCUGGAGCUUCAAUUUUACUUGAGGAUUUGGAAAAAUAUAAAUUAAUCGAUUUAACCAUUUAUUUAAUGUGCUCCAAUUCUUUAUUUAAUUGGCUGCAAAGCAAACAAAAUUAUGCAUUAGCUAUGUUAUGACUAAAACCCAAAUGUUGUUGAAUACUUUCAG